Long non-coding RNA from Chinchilla lanigera (long-tailed chinchilla), 2569 nucleotides. The record is from Ensembl. Lineage: Eukaryota; Metazoa; Chordata; Mammalia; Rodentia; Chinchillidae.
GGUAUAUAAGCUGCACUCUCCUCAUCCUUCCUGGGUGGAUCUGACCAGGCUCUCUUUGGUGUGCUGCAGGUCCUGUCCUGCACCACAGGUCUCGUUCAAAUAAAGCCUCACUCCAGUGGUCCCAGAAAGUCCUAAGGUUGUUUAUUUUGAGUAGUGCAGACAGAGCUGCUUUAAGAAGAAGCCAUGACACUUGGAGUUGUUAGCCAUGAAGCGCUCCAGAGACUGACAACUGAGACCAGCAGUGGCACUCUGAUUCCUAAUUGCUAUCUGAUUUGAGCUGAAAGCCCCCUCAACUGACUGGUGGCGGUGCUCUGAGGCCUUGUGGCUGCAGCCUCUCCCACUAACCAUCUGGUAUUUUACAGAAGGUCUUCUCAGUUCCCUCCCCUUCAAGGGCUGUGCUAGUCUCUGAGCCCCUGGAAAGGCCCAGCCUGAGCCAUCAUCACAGCUCUGCAGCCAGAGGUCCCGCAGGCAGCCUGAGCUCCUACUGCUGAGGCCCACUGGCAGCUGAGGCCCACGGGCAGCCAGUGCCCUGCUCCACACUGCCACAGCGGGGGGAGAGGCCCAGCCCCCGUCUGCCUUCAUCCCAGCCGCCCGCUUCUUGGGGUGGGCAGAAGCAGUCAUCAGGACCCUCCGUGGUGGGCAGCAUCAGCCCUCCACACCCGAGGGUGGGCGCUGCCCCUGCACUGUCAGGACGCGUUGGCACCCCAGGGGCCCUGGGACACACAAGCCUGCUGCUUGGGACUGUCCAGGCCAGCAGCCAGAGCCAACGAGCAGUAACUCAGGGGUCCCCUCCCCACGACAUCGCAGGCUCUGCUCAACCCCAGUGCUAUGAGGACAGCUCCUCCCAUCACCUCUGGACAGGACCUGCAGGGGAAGUCACCAUGGGGAGCCUGGGUCUCCACACCUGUGAGAUCCGCCCUCCUGAGCCCAUCACCGCGGGGGCACGUGACCCUUCUGGGAGCCAGCACCAAACCUCAGCCUGCCCCAGCUCCAUGAGACCUGAAGCCCCUCGCCCCCGGCUCAGCCCGCCCCAUGCCCGGGGGCCCCAUGUGCGGCCACUAACCAGGCAUUCUCUGUGCCCCGGCUGCCUGGGCCUGACACCCGCGCACCUCCACCCGGGUGUCCGUCCAUGCAGGCCCGGAACCAGCCCCAGAGCAGCCGUGCCGUGCAACAGGGGCGGGGGUUGAUAACAAGACUCCUGUGCCUAAUGAUCUCUUUACCCCCAGUCAAUUAAUGUUCUUCCAACUGCUUUUGUUACCGGUAGUUUAAUAAUCACUAAUUAUUCAGUACAUUCACAGACUUUGAAUGUCUCACAAUCCUCUAUUUAAUUAAGUAUUAAAUUUUAAAACUCCAACUGCAGCUGCCUUUUGGCGUAGCGGGUGUGACGGAGCACCGGCAGCCACCGGGAAGCGAGGUCCUUCCGUGUCUGUCGCUACCCCCGCCUCCUUCCUGCACUGAGCCUUGAAGGACCCACGCAUGUCCCCAGGGCCCUGGGGGGCUCUGGAUGCAACCAGUGUGGGGACAUGGCACACCCCGCAGUCAGAGGGAUGCCCAACGAAGAAGGGGCCCCACAUUUGUACUGAGCUCUGUAAGGGGUGGGCAGAUGACUAGAGGAUCCCCUCCUGCCCCACUGUCUGGGUCCCUGUCCCCGUCCCCACUUGUAGGGUAGCUGUGGGCAAGGCCUUGACAGAGAAGCCCGGCCCCCACUCUUAUGAGCAAGGAAGCAGAGUUGGGGCCAGCUGGGUGUGGGGGCACAGGGAGACCUCAGGAAACUGCCCAAAGGAGCACUGAGGUCCUCAGAAGCCGGCUGCCGGCGCCAUCUGUCCCGGAAGGGCGAUGGCAAUGUGGAGAGGGACCCAGGGUAGCUUGUGUGCCCGAGUGGACAGCACCUCAUGCUCACUGGGCCACGUGGGGGCCGAGCAGCCCAUCAAGGUCUCUCAGAGGGCCACAGGGCCACCAGGGCAGGCAUAGGUGUCCCCAGAGGUGAGGUGCUACCUGCCCUGGGGGAAGCCCACCAGUCUGGGGGUCCGAGAAGCCUGGGUCCCUAAGGGGAGGUGGCCCGGCGGGAGACACCAAGAGGACAGUGACGCAGGAUUCUGUCUGCUGAAGAGAACCAGGAGGGGACUGCCCCACGUCACCCCCUGGGGACCCCUAGGAAACCCAGCUCUCACCACCAGCCCCCACAGGCAGCCUGGGUGCACAGGAGGGGAGACUGAGGCAAGCUCACCGGAGCCAAGCAAAGCCACCAAGAAAAAGGUGGCUCCCAUGCUGGGGUCCCUGGUGCCUCGUCUGAGGCUGUGCCAGGGUCCGUGGCUGCGGCCACAUGGGGCCACCAAGUGUGACGAGGCAGCUGCUCAGGGCCCCUGCCUGGAGCAGGAGGAAACUUGAGGCAGAUGCCCCAGCAGUGCAGCUCCACUGAAAUCCCCCAGAACAUGGGAAUGUGUCCCCCCACCCCAUGACCCCACCAGUGCCGGCCUCCAAAGGGCAUGGACACACCUGGUUCCAGCCCAGUGAGCACCUGGGAGGGUCCACACCACAGUCCCUGUCACAAGGUGGCCCACGUCCCGUC